AUACAGAGGGUGCAAGCGUUAAUAGGAUUUACUGGGCGUAAAGCGCGCGUAGGUGGCUAAUUAAGUCAAAUGUGAAAUCCCCGAGCUUAACUUGGGACUUGCAUUCGAUACUGGUUAGCUAGAGUAUGGGAGAGGAUGGUAGAAUUCCAGGUGUAGCGGUGAAAUGCGUAGAGAUCUGGAGGAAUACCGAUGGCGAAGGCAGCCAUCUGGCCUAAUACUGACACUGAGGUGCGAAAGCAUGGGGAGCAAACAGGAUUAGAUACCCGGGUAGUCCAUGCCGUAAACGAUGUCUACUAGCCGUUGGGGCCCUUGAGGCUUUAGUGGCGCAGCUAACGCGAUAAGUAGACCGCCUGGGGAGUACGGUCGCAAGACUAAAACUCAAAUGAAUUGACGGGG
Molecule: ribosomal RNA, 396 nt
Filed under: uncultured bacterium
Lineage: Bacteria
Description: partial 16S ribosomal RNA
Rfam family: Bacterial small subunit ribosomal RNA
Source: RNAcentral